RNAcentral lists this transfer RNA (73 nucleotides) under bacterium. Its description in RNAcentral is "tRNA-Ala". It matches the Rfam family "tRNA". From Rfam's summary of the family: Transfer RNA (tRNA) molecules are approximately 80 nucleotides in length. Their secondary structure includes four short double-helical elements and three loops (D, anti-codon, and T loops). Further hydrogen bonds mediate the characteristic L-shaped molecular structure. tRNAs have two regions of fundamental functional importance: the anti-codon, which is responsible for specific mRNA codon recognition, and the 3' end, to which the tRNAs corresponding amino acid is attached (by aminoacyl-tRNA synthetases). tRNAs cope with the degeneracy of the genetic code in two manners: having more than one tRNA (with a specific anti-codon) for a particular amino acid; and 'wobble' base-pairing, i.e. permitting non-standard base-pairing at the 3rd anti-codon position. RNAcentral also lists the same sequence under 4 other names. The record is from RNAcentral.
GGGGCCAUAGCUCAGCUGGGAGAGCGCUUGCAUGGCAUGCAAGAGGUCGUGAGUUCGAAUCUCAUUGGCUCCA